GGAAAUGACUGGAUUCUGACGGGUACCUCAGGAAUAAGGAACGGCUAACUCCGUGCCAGCAGCCGCGGUAAUACGGAGGUUCCAAGCGUUGUUCGGAAUUACUGGGCGUAAAGGGAGCGCAGGCGGACAGGUCAGUUUAAAGUGGAAUCCCAGGGCUCAACCCUGGACGUGCUUUGGAUACUGCCUGUCUUGAGUUCGUGAGAGGAAAGUGGAAUUCAGGGUGUAGCGGUGAAAUGCUUAGAUAUCCUGAGGAACACCAGUGGCGAAAGCGACUUUCUGGCACGAAACUGACGCUGAGGCUCGAAAGCAUGGGUAGCGAACGGGAUUAGAUACCCCGGUAGUCCAUGCCGUAAACGUUGUAUACUAGGUGCGGGAGGUAUCGACCCCUUCCGUGCCGAAGCUAACGCAUUAAGUAUACCGCCUGGGGGAGUACGCGCGCAAGCGUGAAACUCAAAGGAAUUGACGGGGGGC
RNAcentral lists this ribosomal RNA (471 nucleotides) under uncultured bacterium. RNAcentral's name for it is "bacterial SSU rRNA". It matches the Rfam family "Bacterial small subunit ribosomal RNA", at positions 452 to 921 of the family's 1533-position model. The record is from RNAcentral.